GGUCCAGACUCCUACGGGAGGCAGCAGUGGGGAAUAUUGGACAAUGGGCGCAAGCCUGAUCCAGCUAUGCCGCGUGGGUGAAGAAUGCCUUCGGGUUGUAAAGCCCUUUUGUUGGGGAAGAAAAGCAAUUGGUUAAUACCUAGUUGUUAUGACGGUACCCAAAGAAUAAGCACCGGCUAACUUCGUGCCAGCAGCCGCGGUAAUACGAAGGGUGCAAGCGUUACUCG
This 227-nucleotide ribosomal RNA is filed under the name uncultured Xylella sp. RNAcentral's name for it is "partial 16S ribosomal RNA". It matches the Rfam family "Bacterial small subunit ribosomal RNA", at positions 328 to 547 of the family's 1533-position model. Lineage: Bacteria; Pseudomonadati; Pseudomonadota; Gammaproteobacteria; Lysobacterales; Lysobacteraceae. The record is from RNAcentral.